GUGCUAGCUUUGGCAGCACAUGUACUAAAAUUGGGACAACACAGAGAAGAUUAGCAUGGUCCCUGUGCAAAGAUGCCAUGCAAAUUUAUGAAGCAUUCUCUAUUUUA
Molecule: small nuclear RNA, 107 nt
Organism: Artibeus jamaicensis (Jamaican fruit-eating bat)
Lineage: Eukaryota; Metazoa; Chordata; Mammalia; Chiroptera; Phyllostomidae
Source: RefSeq, a predicted model, not a curated record